AGUUGGGCUGGGAAUUUGAUGAUAAAACACUCCCACCCAGAAUUCCCUUCUGAUGUCUUCACAAUCAUGGAGGCUGCAGGAGCCAAGGUCACUAUAGGACACAGAGAUGAAUCACAGACAAUGGCACUCAGUGAGUUUUUGGGUACUACAAUGAAUGGCAAGGUGAUUCGUUCACUGGAGAUUCCACCAGGAAAGCCUGAAGACGUAUUCCGGACUUACAAAGUUGCUUCUCGGUCACAG
This is a long non-coding RNA of Branchiostoma belcheri (Belcher's lancelet), 240 nucleotides long. RefSeq lists it as uncharacterized. The record is from RefSeq and is a predicted model, not a curated record. NCBI's taxonomy places the organism in Eukaryota, Metazoa, Chordata, Leptocardii, Amphioxiformes, Branchiostomatidae. The transcript is spliced from 3 exons.